UCUUUUCCCAGAGCUGGUCUAAUUUGAAGAUAACUGAUUAUAUUACAUAUCUAACGAAUAUUUCUGCUUUGAGAAAUCUGUAGACUCAAACAUUAUUAUUGCGUAAUUUUUUGCAUACUCGAAGUUUUGUGGUGCAACCCUUUUCGUUACUGAUUUCAUGUAGUAUAAUGUUUCAUACAUUCUUAUAUUUUUGGAUAGGGUACUUGUCAUGUGCCCGCUGUUCAGCAACCGGUUUGCGUGUGUCUGUUGAACCCAUUUUGACAAGCGCUACGGAUCGCGAGUUGAACGUACCAACUACUUGCAGGUGUCAAAAUUGCUCUGGGUCUGGAAAGGUAAUGUGCCCCACCUGCCUUUGCACUGGGAUGAUAAUGGCUAGCGAGCACGACCCUCGUAUUGACCUAUUCGACUAGAGGGCAGGGCAAGGGCGGUUAGAUUGAUUGGCUCAAUUCUAGUACCUCGACCGGAAGUGUGAUGUUUGCUAUAAUAUGGAGCUAACCCCAUGAUUCAUAUGUCACCAAUGUGAUGUUGUAUCAUCGAAUGCUGUAUGUUUAUGUUUGUUGUUAUCAGACGAGUCAUCUAUGGAGUGAGGACAUGAAUGACAAUUAUAAUUAACAAAUGUAACAAUGUUUGUACCGUGCGAGACGUUCCUCUUGAUUUUUUUGCGAAUGACAUAUAUAGAUGAUUGGCUCUGUUA
Molecule: non-coding RNA, 694 nt
Organism: Salvia hispanica
Lineage: Eukaryota; Viridiplantae; Streptophyta; Magnoliopsida; Lamiales; Lamiaceae
Source: RefSeq, a predicted model, not a curated record